CCCUUAAACUGCUUCCGGUUUUUGUAACGUGGCCGAAACCGGAUCUUUCCUGGAAAAAAUGAAUUUCUGAAUUACAUCUCUUCGUCCAGUUGAUGUUGGUAAUACACCAAGUUUGUAAACCGCCAGUAAACGCUAUWGAAGAAGAAGAAGAUCUUCCGUGGAUCCGCUGUUACUCCGCUGUGCUUCCGGAAGCACAACAACGCUUCCAGCUGUUGUUGUACGGGCUUGAAGCGUUUAUGUGGCGGUAACUUUUACUUUCGGUAACGCAGUAAUGUUUUUAAAUGAAGACAUGAACAAAGGAGGCRGACGACGACUGGCUGGAUCCUUACGACAUGCUCAACUACGAUUCUAGCACCAAAACGAUGAAGAAACUUCCCGAGCCAACAACCUUUACCAAUGUGGUCACCAAAAGAAGAGAGUACGUCCAGGACCAGAACCAGGCUGAGCUGACAACCUGUAAUGAGCAGAUGGA
Non-coding RNA from Poecilia reticulata (guppy), 472 nucleotides. The record is from RefSeq and is a predicted model, not a curated record. Lineage: Eukaryota; Metazoa; Chordata; Actinopteri; Cyprinodontiformes; Poeciliidae.